Molecule: long non-coding RNA, 3376 nt
Organism: Falco peregrinus (peregrine falcon)
Lineage: Eukaryota; Metazoa; Chordata; Aves; Falconiformes; Falconidae
Exons: 3
Source: RefSeq, a predicted model, not a curated record
GGCACAUCUCGCCCACCCCUAACGCUUGCAGGAGCUGCCAUGGGGCUUCCCCUGUGGCAGUGGGUAUGAUCUGUGGGAGCCUGGCCUUUGGCUGGGAUGCAUUGCAGCUGGGGUGGUUUUCUCAGGAUCUCAAUUUCCAGUGGAGCAUCAUCUGCCAAAGAUAAUGUAAAAAUCAGCUUCUUUGGCAGUUUGGUCUCGCAGAAAGGAACAAAAGGAACCCUCCACCCAGAUGUGCUUCCUCACACACAGACUUGCAGUAACCGUUCUUCUGAGAAACUGUGAAACAUGAGGCUUUUUGCAAAGUAAUCAUGGUGCUGACAACACACGACCUGAGCCUUUCCUGUUUGUGCAAGAAUUCACAGUAAUGGCACACAUUUGACUUUUGUGCUUUGAAACCAGAACAAGAAGAAAAAUAAAGCCAAGCUCCAAAUCCAAUUGUACGUUGAUUUAACUGGCUUGGAACCCUUCUUCAAGUGAAAUCCUGCAAAAGCAGAGUGCUGGACUUGAUCUGAAGAUUUCAUUCAUGUUCGAAAUUGAGAUCUAGCUCUUCUACCCACAAAUCUACUUUGUAGGUAGGAAAUGGGAAGUUUCUCACAGGGUUUUCAGCCCAAGAAAGUAGAAUGAGGGACAAAAAUUUGUCAUUUUGCAGAUACCUUAUUUUGGUGCUAUCAGAAAUGUGUACCACUGAAAUUCUUACUGCAUAAAAAGUCAUUAAAGUAUCAUAUUGACGCAUGGCAAGAUUCAAGCUUGUUGAGCAGUUUUUGUUUCUACUAUGGAAAGCCCAUAUGGAGAAUGGGGUUGUUACAGAAGUCUUUCCUUUAGGCAGAGCAUGUGAGCUCUUGGUUGCUUUUGUAUUACAUUUUAAAUUGACUAUCACUGUUCUAGGCAAAUAAGCUAUUCCAGAGCAGCACUCUGUGCCAUCACUGUAUUCCCAGAUGAAAAUCACCUUGCCUGUAUGAGCCAGUACAGGGAAGUUCAACUGCCUUUUUAUUCACUGUGCACCUGCACAGCAAUUCUUCUGCAUGUGUGAAUUUGCUCCAGAGUCCCAUAUCACUGUGGGGACAUCCACCUCAGUUCCUGGGCCAUUUACUUGUCAUCUUGUUGUGAGAGAGAGCCUGGUUAAAUUAAAAAGGGAGCAAGAGCAUCAGCACAACCGCACUUCAGCACUCCUGCAAGAAAAUGCCAUCAGGCUUGGGCAGAGGCGGGGGGUGUGUGUGUCUGUGGUUCAGAUGAGCUGCUGCAGAACACAGUGCAGAUUUUGAGGUUGUAAAUGAGUUUUAAUCUACGCUGACAAUUGUGCAUCCCUGGCUUUCCUCUAAGCUGCAGAAGCAAGAGCAAUUAGUCUGGUUAAGAACAUGACUAUAAAGCAGACAAUAUGGGCUCUAAUAAAGCAAGCAUGCUUUUCCAUUAAAAUAAUUUGCAUAAUGUAAUUCUUUGAAGCGUUUUCCUCAUUUUUCAAUGUUGUUUUCAUUCACUGAGCUCUGUAUUAAUUGCUAAUAAAAAACAGAGCAAGAAUUUUCAUUUUAAGGGCUUCCUCUGUCUUUUUGAAGUAAGAAGCUCAAAGCAAAGCACAGUUUGGCAGCUUACAUUCAGGUACACCUCAGUGCAGGCCUACUUCCUAUCAAAGAUGUUUGAUAGCUCAGAAGACACUGUCAUUGCAGAGUGGACACAGGGGAUAUGCAGCCUGUGAGAGUCCUCUGGUUACCAUGUUAUUAGGCGCCUAUCUAAAGCUUAAUGGCCAGGCUAUCCAUUCCCUCGCCCUGAGCUGGCUCUGUUUUGUUCUAGGGCCAAAGUAGCUUCCAGCCAGGGGUCAAAACUGAUGGGACAGAAGUAGUAUAGAUAAUGUUUAAUUUUUUUGGUCCCACACACAUUCUGCUCUGAAGGGCCAAUGCCUUACCUAAGGCCUGGACAUGUGCUUGUUCUGUGUGUUUGACUUCAUGCAUUCAAAACACCACCAAACAGAAGCAGAAUGAAUGAAUCCUUAGUGUGCUGGGGGCUGAGCAGUGAUAUCAAGAUGCAGAAGUUUUUGUUUUGGCCAUGGCAGCUGCCUUUGCUUUUGGGGAACAAGGGAAGAUUGAAUGCCCCCCUUGUUUAGGCAUAGUGAAAAACUGUAUGUGGGUAAGAUGAUGAGGGUGGGACACUGGAACAGGUUGCUGAGAGAAGUUGUGGAUGCUCCAUCACUGGAAGUGUUCAAAGUAAGUUUGGACAAGGCUUUGAGCAACUUGAUGUAGAGAAAGAUGUCCCUGUCCAUGAUUUGGGUCUUCGACUAGGUCUUUGAAGGUCCCUUCCAACUCAAACCAUUCUAUGAUUCUAUGAUAAAGUCAUGAGUUUGCAUCCUGGGGUGUGAGAUGUUUCCUAAUGUUCUGAUGGAAAAUCCCCAGUAGGAAGGAAAGGUGUGGUAGCUGCUGUGUGUUUGUGAUAAAAAGAGGAAAACCACCAAGGUUCAGCUCUGUAGACAACCAGAGAGGUGUUUUCUGUGAAACCAUGAGAAAAAACCCAAACCCCAAGGCAUGAAACUUUGGGUAGAAGGAAUCAUGGCCAAAGGCAAUGUGUGUUGCUGGUGGUCUCUUACAAUGCUUAGUGGGGAAAAAAAUGCUUUACAUACUUGGAAAAUAAUAUACCCCUUAAUUUUUCUCCCUUCUAGAAACAGUUUGCAAUUUUCUUCUGUUUCUUGAGUUAAAAGAAGCAACUAUCUAGCCAAUUUAGACCAGGCUAUAGUCCACAGCCCUGGUUUCCUUGUGCAUCACUGUGGCAGGAUGGUGAGUGCGCUGGUGCUGGGGUGGGAUGAAGCAGGUUGUCCUGAAGGUGAGGGCUGGGUAAAUGGAGCAAAACAAAAACAACAUGGAGAAUAUUAUUAUCAGUACGUGUCAAGUGAGUUACAAUUUCUCAGGUGAUUGAAUGCAGAAGUUUUCUCUGCUGGUGAAUUUGAAUGAAGUAUAUUAUAUUUGAUUGUAUCAGUGGAAAUAUUUUUUUCUGUCAGUAGCAUUGUUAGUUUUCUUGUCUUUCCACAUGCAUUUAUUUGCAUUACAUGCAAAUAAAACCUAUACGUUUAGCUAUCUCUUUUUAUAUUGUUGUGCAUAGGUGUAAGUUCUUUAAGGUAGGGAUAUUAUUGUUAUUUAACUGCUUAGUGCUUUCUGGUGGUGUUCUGCUCUUCAGACACUACCAUUGUAGUAAUAAAAAUAUAAUGAUGAUAAUAAUGCCUUUGGGAGGACACUUGCUGAAAUUGCUUUUUGGGUGUUGUGAAGAACUUCUAUUUACCAAUUGUUAAAUGACUAUAAAUUAGCAGUAGUCAUUAAAAAGCUGAACUUACCUGCAUGUACUUCUCAAGGAGAUAAAGGGACUCCUGUUCAUAAAAUCUACAGUGCUCAGCCAGGAG